UAGGGAAUAUUGCUCAAUGGGGGAAACCCUGAAGCAGCAACGCCGCGUGGAGGAUGACACUUUUCGGAGCGUAAACUCCUUUUGUUAGGGAAGAACCAUGACGGUACCUAACGAAUAAGCACCGGCUAACUCCGUGCCAGCAGCCGCGGUAAUACGGGGGGUGCAAGCGUUACUCGGAAUCACUGGGCGUAAAGGACGCGUAGGCGGAUUAUCAAGUCUCUUGUGAAAUCCUAUGGCUUAACCAUAGAACUGCUUGGGAAACUGAUAAUCUAGAGUGAGGGAGAGGCAGAUGGAAUUGGUGGUGUAGGGGUAAAAUCCGUAGAGAUCACCAGGAAUACCCAUUGCGAAGGCGAUCUGCUGGAACUCAACUGACGCUAAGGCGUGAAAGCGUGGGGAGCAAACAGG
This 405-nucleotide ribosomal RNA is filed under the name uncultured bacterium. Its description in RNAcentral is "bacterial SSU rRNA". It matches the Rfam family "Bacterial small subunit ribosomal RNA", at positions 355 to 776 of the family's 1533-position model. The record is from RNAcentral.